Harpegnathos saltator (Jerdon's jumping ant) is the source of this 172-nucleotide long non-coding RNA. RefSeq lists it as uncharacterized. The transcript has 2 exons. The record is from RefSeq and is a predicted model, not a curated record. NCBI's taxonomy places the organism in Eukaryota, Metazoa, Arthropoda, Insecta, Hymenoptera, Formicidae.
GAGAGAGAGAGAGAGACAAAGAGAAAGAGAGAGAGAGAGAGAGAGGGGGAGAGAGAAGGAGAGACACGUCAUCUCGUUUCACCGGGGAAAUCCUGGAAUCGCGCUCUGUGUUGCGACGUCGAACUGAAAUCGGAAGCUGAAGAGAUCGCGCGAUCGAGAAGAAAUUGGAAAG